Non-coding RNA from Equus caballus (horse), 4101 nucleotides. The record is from RefSeq and is a predicted model, not a curated record. Lineage: Eukaryota; Metazoa; Chordata; Mammalia; Perissodactyla; Equidae.
GCCACCUGCUCACGGCGGUCCUUUUCUUUGGAGGUUUUAUUGGGUCUCGCCCCUGCCGGGCUCCGCUUGCUAGAGGACGGUCCUCCUAGAGGGAAGGUCGUAGUCAUGGAGCAGCGAGGGAGGAAGGGGACACCCACCUAGUGAGCCAAGUCGCCCUCACAUCCAUCGCGGUCAUUUUGGCUUCUCUGGUCAGCUCACCCCGUCGGAGGCUCCGGAGCGCCGGGUCGGGCUUGAGGGGACGGACGGGGAGGCGCGAGAGGAGGCGCCGUCCCCGCGGCCCAGGCGGCUCUGAGGCUCGGCGACGCCGCCCGGGGCCCCGCGCCAGGCCCGGGCCAGGGAGCGCCGCGCCCGGCGCCUCGUCUCCCGCCGCUCCCGGCCCCGCUCCGCCCCCGAGGCCGAUGGCGGCGGCCGCGCGGAGGGAGCCGGCUCAGGAGAGUAUGACCUUUGGAGACGUUGCUGUGUACUUCUCCUGGGAGGAGUGGAGGCUCCUUGGUGAAGCUCAGAGGGACUUGUACCACGAUGUGAUGCUGGAGAACUUUGCACUCAUAUCCUCACUGGGUUGCUGGAGUGGAGCAGAAGAUGUGGAGGCUCCCUUUGAACACAGCAUUUCUGUAGGUGUGUCACAGGACAGGACUCCCAAGGCAGGUCUGAGAAAAAGUGAUUAUGCCUGGGUUGAAUGCAAGAAAGGCUUCAGGCCGAAGCACAUGCUUGUUCAGGACAAGGGUGUGCACACUGGAAGACAGUGUUUUGUGUGCCGUGAAUGUGGGAAAGCAUUCAGGUACAGAUCCUCAUUUGUUGUUCACCAGAGAGUCCACGCUGGAGGAAGGCUUCAUGUGUGUAGAGAAUGUGGCAAAUCUUUUAGGCGAACCUCAGCCUUCAGUCAGCAUCGAAGAAUUCAUUCUGGAGCAAGGCAGUACAAAUGCAGCAAAUGUGGACAAUCCUUUAACCAAAAAUCUAUCCUUAUUUAUCUCUGGAGAAGUCACUCUGGAGAAAGUUGUUACUUGUGCAGUGAAUGUGUGCAGUCUUUUUGCUGUGGAUCUAUCCUUAUUCAACAACGAACAGUUCACACAGGAGAAAGGCGUUAUAAGUGCACUGAGUGUGGGAUAUCUUUUAGAAGAAAAUGUUACCUCAUUGUACACUGGAGACUUCACACUGGAGAAAGGUCUUAUGAAUGCAGUGAUUGUGGGAAAUCUUUUACCAAAAGCUUGGUACUCAUUCUCCACCGGAGAGUACAUACAGGAAGGAGGCCUUUUCAAUGCAGUAUAUGUGGGAAGUCAUUUACCAACAGCUCAAGACUAAUUCUACACCAGAGAGUACACACAGGAAAAAGGCCUUAUGAGUGCAGUGAAUGUUGGAAAUCCUUUAGCCAUCUAUCUUACCUCAAUCAACACCAGACAGUGCAUGUUGGAAAAAGGUCUUAUGAAUGUGGUGAAUGUGGGAAAUCUUUUUCAUCUGGUUCCAACCUCAGUGAUCAUCAGAGAGUUCACACAGGAGAAAGGCCUUAUGAAUGCAGUCAAUGUGGGAAAUCUUUUAUCCAAAGAUGUCAUCUUGUUAGACACCAACGAGUUCACACAGGAGAGAGAUCAUAUGAGUGUAGUAAAUGUGGGAAAUGUUUCACCAUUAGGCAGACCCUCCGUUAUCAUGAGAAAGUUCACACAGGAGAAAGACCUUAUAAGUGCAAUGAUUGUGGGAAAUCCUUUAUAGAAAGAUGCCAUCUUGUUAAACACCAACGAGUUCACACAGGAGAAAAGCCUUAUGAAUGCAGUGAAUGUGGGAAAUCUUUUAUCAUAAGAUCCAAUCUUGUUGUACACCAGCGAGUUCACACAGGAGAGAGGCCAUAUGAGUGCAGUGAAUGUGGAAAAUCUUUCAGCCUUAGGAGCACCCUUCGUGAUCAUCAGAGAGUUCACACUGGAGAAAGGCCUUAUGAGUGCAGUGAAUGUGGAAAAUCCUUUAGAGUAAAUUCUCAUCUCAUUCGUCACUGGAGAUUUCACACUGGAGAAAAGCCGUAUAGAUGUAGUGAAUGUGGGAAAUGUUUUAGGUCUAGUGUGAGCCUUCGUUGUCAUGAGAGUAUUCACACUGGUUCAAGACCUUAUGAGUGUAUUGACUGUGGGAAAUCAUAUGCCAUUAGACCGACCCUUACUCGACACCGAAGAAUUCACACAGGAGAAAGACCUUAUAAGUGUGGGGAAUGUGGAAAAUCCUUCCGGCGUAAUUCACAUCUCAGUGAACACCAGAGAGUUCACACUGGAGAAAAGAAUUAUGAGUGCACUGAAUGUGGGAAAUCAUUUAGGGAUCGUUCCCAGCUCAAAAAGCACCAAACAGUUCACACUGGAGAAAGGCCUUUUGAGUGUAGUGUAUGUGGGAAAUCUUAUACCAGUAGCUCGACACUCGCAAAACACCGGAGAAUUCAUACAGGUGAAAGGCCUUAUAGGUGCAGUGAAUGUGGGAAAUCAUUUAGGGAUCAUUCCCAACUCAAAAAACACCAGCGAGUUCACACUGGAGAGAGGCCUUUUGAGUGUAGUGAAUGUGGGAAAUCUUAUAGCAGUAACUGGACGCUUACUCAACACCAGAAAAUUCACACAGGAAAAGGCCUUAUAAGUACAGUGAAUGUGGGAGAUCUUUCAUGAGUAGUUCACAUUGCAGUAAACAACAGAGAGUUCACACUGGAGAAAGGCCUUAUGAGUGCACUGAAUGUGGGCAAUCAUUUACGGAUAGUUCCCAAUUUAGUAAACACCAGAGAGUCCACAUUGGGUAAAGGCUUUAUGAGCAUAGUGAAUGUGGAAAAUGUUUUGUCUUUAGCUUGACGCUCAACACCGGAGAGUUCACACUAGAGUAAGGGUUUAUGAGCGCACCCAGUGUGGGAAAUGUUUAACCCAAAGCUCUGCACUCUGUCAACAUGAGAGACUUGACACUGGAUCAAGUUCUUAUGAGUCAAGCAAAUGUGGAAAAUUCUUUAGCUAAAGGACUGUGUUCGCUUCACAUCGAUUGUUGAUACUGCGUCAAGCCUAAUGAGUGCAGGGAAUGUCGAAAAUGAUUUCCUAAAUCUCCACUCUCAUUCAACACUGGAGAAUUCACGGUGUAGAAAGUCCUUAUGCUGUACCAGAUGUGGUGAAUCAUUUUUAAUUUGGCCUUUUUACUACCUUUUUUGUGCUAUUUCAUUGUUGUUUUAAUUGCAUUUCCCUAAGGAUUCCUGAUGAGCACUUUUUCAGAUGUUCAUUUACUAUAUGUAUGUUUGUGAUAAAAUGUCCGCUAAUAUCUUUUGCUUAUUCUUUUAUGAAAUUUGGCUACUAUCCUUUUCUUUGGCAAAUAGGGCUGUGAAGCAACGAAGGUGUAUGUUGGAAUUUCAUUCUCAAAUACAUGACUGACCUCCUUUUAUAAUGGAAUAAUUAUUUUCAGUACUGGAAGAAUAUAUCCUAAUUUUCUUUAAGAUUUUUUAUGCUGUGCACAAUGUAAUGGGUACAAAUACCAUAUUUUUUUAAUACUAAUUUGCACUGUUAACAUAUUUUCCAUUUGUUUCUUAACUUCAGACAUUCAAUAAUGCUAUAAAGUCUUACCUUGUAGUGUUUGCUCAUUUUCCUGGUUUAUCAUUGGUGGGUCAGAGCAGAUGGAGGCCCAGAUGGUAUCAGGAUAGAUUGGGUGUUCAAAGCCCCACAGGGAGGGAAUGGGGAGGGCAGUGAUCAGACACCCCCAAGGUGCCGGAGUUUGACUCUCAGGUCUCCAUUCAUCACUGGAGCUUAUAGACAAUGACCCCCUUCUGAGCCUCAGUUUCCUCCUGUGUGAAAUGGGAACUAGAGGUGACCCUGCGCCUGGGCUAUUGGAAGAGGUCAAGAGUCAAGGUGCCCAUUCACUGCGCAGCAGCUGCACCUAUUCUCUCCACCUGUGUGCAGUGACAAUCACGGGGCAGGGCACCCCUUUAUCCCCUCAGGCGGGAGGGGGCUGUGGGGUAGUGAGGUUUGGUGUGGGUUCCCCACCAGGGAAUGUUUGAGUACCUUGCUGGAGCUCCUGGAGGCUCAGUUCACUGACUGUGAGAUGCAGGUGAUGACUGCAUUGACCUUGGCCUCCCUGAGGAUCAAUAAAAGUAACAAACAUGCUGAGUUCUUA